AUACGGAGGGUGCGAGCGUUGUCCGGAAUCACUGGGCGUAAAGGGCGCGUAGGCGGCGCAGUAAGUAGGGGGCGAAAUCUCACGGCUCAACCGUGAAACUGCCUCCUAAACUGCUGUGCUUGAGCACGGUAGAGGCAGAUGGAAUUCCCGGUGUAGCGGUGGAAUGCGUAGAUAUCGGGAAGAACACCAGUGGCGAAGGCGGUCUGCUGGGCCGUUGCUGACGCUGAGGCGCGACAGCGUGGGGAGCAAACAGGAUUAGAUACCCCGGUAGUCC
This 274-nucleotide ribosomal RNA is filed under the name uncultured bacterium. RNAcentral describes it as "partial 16S ribosomal RNA". It matches the Rfam family "Bacterial small subunit ribosomal RNA", at positions 523 to 796 of the family's 1533-position model. The record is from RNAcentral.